Molecule: long non-coding RNA, 213 nt
Filed under: Linum usitatissimum (flax)
Lineage: Eukaryota; Viridiplantae; Streptophyta; Magnoliopsida; Malpighiales; Linaceae
Description: long non-coding RNA (LUSI_LNC005683)
Source: RNAcentral
AGAUAACUGCUACAAAUUCUAGCCCUAUCAAAUCCCCCCACACUUGAACCUUGCUUGUCCUCAAGCAACUUUACUUUUCACACUCUAUACAAACUCUAAACAUGGAGAGAUCGAUACAACAUGCUAAGAGUUCAAACCUACUUCACGAUGCCAAGAAUGCACUUUAGAUCACCAAACCACGCAGUUACAAUUACCGAGUUCUCUAAUCCAAAU